This 203-nucleotide long non-coding RNA is filed under the name Elaeis guineensis (African oil palm). RNAcentral describes it as "long non-coding RNA (EGUI_LNC046925)". The record is from RNAcentral. Lineage: Eukaryota; Viridiplantae; Streptophyta; Magnoliopsida; Arecales; Arecaceae.
AUGAUGGUACAGUGAGGAGAUUGAGAGAGAUCCAAUACAUAUCUGAUUUCAAAAAAAAUCUUAUCUCACUAAGCAGACUGAAUUUGACCAGCUACAAGAUGGUAGCUGAUGGAGGAAUCCUGAAGAUUUUGCAUAACGAUAGGAUGAUAUUAGAGAAAAAGAAGAGAAUGAGAGAAUAUUACUACCUAAUAGGGAGCCCAGUG